GACGAACGCUGGCGGCGUGCCUAAUACAUGCAAGUAGAACGCUGAAGGAGGAGCUUGCUCUUCUGGAUGAGUUGCGAACGGGUGAGUAACGCGUAGGUAACCUGCCUGUUAGCGGGGGAUAACUAUUGGAAACGAUAGCUAAUACCGCAUAACAGUAGAUGUUGCAUGACAUUUACUAAAAAGGUGCAAUUGCAUCACUACCAGAUGGACCUGCGUUGUAUUAGCUAGUUGGUGGGGUAAUGGCUCAACAAGGCGACGAUACAUAGUCGACCUGGGAGGGGGGUCGGCCACAAUGGGACUGGGACAAGGCCCAGACUCCUACGGGAGGCAGCAGUAGGGAAUCUUCGGCAAUGGACGGAAGUCUGACCGAGCAACGCCGCGUGAGUGAAGAAGGUUUUCGGAUCGUAAAGCUCUGUUGUAAGGGAAGAACGAGUGUGAGAGUGGAAAGUUCACACUGUGACGGUAUCUUACCAGAAAGGGACGGCUAACUACGUG
Molecule: ribosomal RNA, 495 nt
Filed under: uncultured bacterium
Lineage: Bacteria
Description: partial 16S ribosomal RNA
Rfam family: Bacterial small subunit ribosomal RNA
Source: RNAcentral